AUGCAGAUCAAAGACAUUUAUUUCAAAAAUGUGAAGAAAAAUUUGGGAGAUGGUAAAAAUACUCGUUUCUGGGAGGACUGGUGGGUGGGAUCUAAACCUCUAAAAGAGGCCUACCCAAGCUUAUAUUUCAUUAAUUUGACCCCUGACAUUUUAGUGGUUGAGGCCAUUUAUAUGGGGUGGGCUGGGUUCAAAUUCAGAAGGAAUUUAACUGCUGAUAAGCAUACUUUGUGGGAUAGUCCGAGAGCUAAGUGUGAGAGGGUGAGAAUGUAUGAGGGCAAAGAUCAGCCACAAUGGAUGCUGACAGCCAAUAGACAAUUCUCAGUUAGAUCACUCUAUCACUCCUUGAUCAAAACUGAGGUGGGAUUCCCACACAAAUUCCUUUGGAAUAUAAAAAUUCCAGCAAAAAUUAAAAUGUUUUUCUGGCUCAUUGCUAGGAAAAGUGUGUUGACUAAGGAUAACCUAAUUAAAAAAAGGAGGAGAGGGAGACAGGGUUGUGUCUACUGUGGACAAGAUGAAACCAUAGAUCACCUGUUAUUUACUUGCUCUGCUGCUAGACUCUUGUGGUGCUUAAUAAAACAUCUCCAAAAGGAAUAG
Molecule: ribosomal RNA, 594 nt
Filed under: Triticum aestivum (bread wheat)
Lineage: Eukaryota; Viridiplantae; Streptophyta; Magnoliopsida; Poales; Poaceae
Description: partial small subunit ribosomal RNA
Source: RNAcentral